This is a non-coding RNA of Heterocephalus glaber (naked mole-rat), 3926 nucleotides long. The record is from RefSeq and is a predicted model, not a curated record. Lineage: Eukaryota; Metazoa; Chordata; Mammalia; Rodentia; Bathyergidae.
GCUGCAGGGUAAUUGAUAGAGAGUAGAAAUUCAGUAGAGAAUUUUGAUAAAGAACAGAAAUUCAACGAAGAGCAGAAAAUUGAUACAGAGCAGAAAUUCCCACCGUCCUGGAGGUUGGGAAGUCCAGAAUGAAGGCUCCUGCAGGUUCAGCUAUCUGUAUAAGUCAGAAGUGCCUCUCAAAGACUCAAUUGGAGGAAAGGAGCUGGUUAAGAUGAAGAUCUGAAUCUGGUCAAGGUGGUGCAUGCUUAUAAUCUCAGCUACUCAGGUGGCUGAGGCAGGAGGAUUUCAAAUUUCAGAAAAUGAAGAGCACUGAAUUCUAACUCAGCUAAGCAAGUCUGAAGCCACUGAAGAAGUAUGACUGUUAAUGAUGAUAUGUCAACCUCAUUGGAUUAAGAAAUGCCCUGCAGUGUAGUAAGCACACUUUUGCAUGUAUCUGGGUAGAUCCUGGAGGUGUGGUGUUGGUUUCUAUAUAUAUGGCCCUCUUCCUCUCUGGCAUUGUUUCCUUGCUCUGCUUCCUGGCCUCCAGGAGCUGAGUGUCUUUGCUCUGGCAUAUCCUUCUACCAUAAUGUUUUUGCUUUGCAGCCAGCUGACCAUGGACUGACUCCUCUGGAAUCAUGAGCCAAAACAACCUCACCUCUUUAAGUUGUGAAUAUUGAGUAUUUUGUCAGCAGUGAAAAAGUUGGCUAAUACAAGAAGCAUAUAGAAACCUUGUGGAUGUCUAGCUAUGGCAUGGGGAAUCAAUCCAAGAUAGAUCUUUAUCUUUGCACCAAAACAGAGAUACUGGAGAAAAUAUUCAAAGAAAAAGAAGAAAAGCAAAAAUACAUGAAUUUGGCAGAAAGAAAUGCAUGUCUAAAAAAAGAUGAACAUUUUCAGGUGUCAACAAGAGACCUUAAAACCUGCCCAGAGAUUGGAGUGCUGUAGCUGCAGAGGCCCAGGGGCACUGGAUGUGGACCACUGAAGUUGGGCUGGGAAGAUGAGCUGGAGCAAAGACCCCUGGCACCCUGAAUCUGUCCCUCAGAGAAAGGAAUGAGGGAGUUUUUGGAGCUGGAGGAGAUGUUCUCUGGGAGCAGUGUUUAAGUUGGUCUCAUUCAUUCAAACAAUUCUGGAGCAUUUAUUAUAGUGCCAGGCAUGGCAGCAACAGUGGAGAAGCAACAGUGGAGAAUAAGUUACACCCAGUGACUGCCCUGGUGUACUUCACAGUCAACUGAAACAGACACUAAGCAACCAAUUAUAAUGUACCCACUGUGAGGAAGAACAUCAUGGUGAAGAAUGUGUGGUUAAGAAGCAAAGAUGCUUACUUCAUGGUAGCUGGGAAAAAAAAAGAAGGAGAAAGGGAGACAACCCCUCAAGGGCACGCCACCAAUGACUUAGCUUCCUUCCACUAGACCCUAACUCCUAAAGGUUCUGCAGUGAUUCUUUUCCAGGUGGUUGUUGUCCUGAACAAAAAAUUGGUCAAGACAUGUGCCAAAGGCUGACAUCGGAUCAAGGCCAUCUAUCAAAAACCUGCUUGAUCUCGCCGCACCAGAGCUGAAAAGAGCAUCUUCUGAGUAGUCCCAGGAGCAGGGCUUGAGCACAUGUGUCCUGGAUCUCUGAUUGACAGGUCACUCCCACUUUCCCAGUCAGCUGGCCUUGCCCUAAUCUCCUGCCUCUGUUCCACUACUUCCCAGUAACACUAUGGGCCGAUGACCAAGCCUUUAGCACAUGGGCCUUUGAGGGUACAUUUAAGAUCCAAACCAUAGCAUAAUUUUUAUUAGUGAUUCAUGAAUCAGGCAGCAUCUUAUCUAAAGAUUUAGAUAAGCCUGGACAGUUGGGGUUUUUUUGUUUUGUUUUGUUUUUUUGUACCGGGGAUGAACUUGAGACCUUGAGCUUGGGACCUUGAGCUUUCGAGGCAGGCACAGCACCACUGAGCUAAAUCCCCAGCCCUUUUUCUCAUGGUUUUGUUUUUUUUUUUUUGGUACCAGGAAUCAAACUCAGGACCUUGUGCUUGCCAGGGAGGUGUGAUGCCACUGAGCUAAAUCCCGGUCCUCUCUGCUGAUUUCUUAGGUCAGAUAAACAGCUAGUUUGUGUUUCAUGCCAUAGAAGUUUAGCAUGAGAGAUAUCAUUUUGAUUUGGUCUCUUGGGGCCAGGUGCAGGAACUGAGCCCAUAACAAUGACCUAUUAUACAUUUUAUUUAACAGAUAAAAGGUAGUCAUGUUCUGUUUUCCAGUGGUGGAAAAUGGAGAUAUGAAAUGGAAGAACUACUGGAGGCCACUUUUCCUUCUGAAUGCAAAGAGAAAAGCUGGUCAGAGAGAACAAAAUCAAUACUUUCAGUGUUAGAAAAUGAGAGACCGCCAGAACAAGAGCGAGAGUGAAAGAGAGAGAAAAUGAGAUAAGGAGAGAGGAGAAACCUGGUGAGCAGGAUUUGUGUCACCAGUCCUGACUGCAGAAGGGGGUGGUGGGUGAGGCUUCUAGGGAAAGAGAGAGCUGAGAUGUGAAUAAGUCACAGAGUUUGUGUGAAAACUCCCAGGUGAAAGGAAAUGGAAUGUGUAUGAGGAAUUUAAAGAAUUCUGUUUUGCUAUUUAGCAAAAAACAACAUUAAAGAGGGGAAAAGCAAGCCAGAGUGUGGGAGAAGAUUACCAGCAAGACAUGUAUUUGCCAAAAGACUUGUUUCAGAGCACACUCAGAGCAUAGCUCAGUGGUAGGGACUUCCCAGCAUGUUCAAGGCCCUGGAUCCAAUGCCCACCUGUGCAAAAAAGGACUCCUUAGAGCAAUAAGAAAAGAAGAGACAACUGAUGUUAAGAAAUAGGUAAAGGACUUGAACAGCACAUCACAAAAAAGAACAGUAUGAAAAGCACUGUAUGAAAAGGUGCUCAGAUUCAUUAAUCAGGGGUAUGCAAUUUUAUUUUAUGUAUUUUUUUGUUUCUCUUUGCUUGGUUUGUUUUUGGGGGAAGGGCAAUUUUAAAAACACGAUGAGGGCCAGGGAUUCAGCUUAGUGGUUCUGCCGCCUGCCUUGCAAGCGCAAGGACCCAAAUUCAAUCCCCGGUACCAAAAAAAAAAAACCAAAACCCAAAAAAACCCACAAUUCGAUCCUUGUAUGGAGCCAUCAAAAUGUCUAAAACAAAAAGCAAAGAUAACAUAAGGGAAAUUCUCAUAAAUCGCCAGUGUGUGUACUUGUUUGGUAGUGUGGUGGCCGUGGUGGUAGUAGAGAAGAUGAGAUCUCUCUUCAAGCAAGCCUGCUGCAAGGGGGCUACUUGGUCAGUAGCCUCCAGCUGCCGCACCUUUGGUCCACCAGUAUUCAUGUGAGAUCACACUGUCCCAGGUCUUGUGCCCAGCCAAAUACUGCUCACCGCAAGAGCCCUAGAUCAGGUCAUUCUUGCCUUUCAAACAGCUCCAGUACUGGUCAGCCUGGACGAGAUUGAGGAACCUUCCCAGUUGCACUGUGGCCUGGACGCUCUCCUUGCUCACUCUUGUGCCCUUUGGUAACAGUGGCCAGCCCUUUGGGAGUUGUCCUUUGACGUCCCCUCCCUUUGGCCAGCAUUCCAAACUCAAAAGGGGUGGAGAUGUAGCUCAGUGAUCAAAUGCUUCUUAGCACACUCAAUCUCUGGUUUUCAUCCCCAGCACUGAAAAAAAAAAAAAAAAAAAGAAAAGAAAAAUCUAAUUUGUUUUUUCCCUUGGGGUACCAGGGAUUGAACUCAGGUCCUUGUGUUUGCAAGGUGGGUGUGGCACCACUGAGCUAAAUCCCCAGCCCCAAGCAUAUGAAUUUCUGUGAGAUUUAACUUGCACAAAAGUAGUAUGUUUGUUUAAAGAAAACAUAGGAACUACUGGAGGCACUACUGGAGGUCAACGUGGACUCCAACUUUCUGGCCCAGGGCCUGGUGGGCCUUGCCCAACAGUGUUCAACUAUAUCUCUUUUUCCCUCCCUAUUAAAGCUCUUUUGCAUAUCUUAA